Molecule: ribosomal RNA, 117 nt
Filed under: Periophthalmus magnuspinnatus
Lineage: Eukaryota; Metazoa; Chordata; Actinopteri; Gobiiformes; Gobiidae
Source: RNAcentral
AACAGUGUUUACACCACCUUGUCAAUGUCCGACCUUGUCUUGUCUUGGAAGUUAAGCAAGGCCAGAUUUGGUUAGUACUUGGAUGGAAGACCAUUGGGAUAUCAGGGAAUACCAGGU